This 12349-nucleotide long non-coding RNA is filed under the name Marmota monax (woodchuck). The record is from RNAcentral. Lineage: Eukaryota; Metazoa; Chordata; Mammalia; Rodentia; Sciuridae.
AUGCUCAGGUAGGGUCAGUUAUGGUUAUUGCUGUGGGGUCUGAAUUGGUGGCUUGACAACUAACAGGGAGGGCACAGGAGGGUCCUGCUGGUAACAAACACCCCUAAAUCUCAGUGGCCUGAAAAAUAAGGACUACUUUGUGUUUUAUGUGACUUAUAUAUGUGGGUUGAUGGGGGUCUCUGCCUGUGAGAGCCGCUCAGAGAUUCAGCAGAUGGAACAUCCCUUUGCUUAGGCAUAUGGGCUAUCAUGUCAAGAUGAGCGGGAAACAUGGGAGGUCCUUGACUGGGCACUUAGUAGCUGUAGUUGAGAAGAGGGCAUGGCCCUAAUCCUAUCUGUAAUGGCUCUCAACUUCAAAGAUGGUGGCCCACACAGAGGCUGGGAAGAGCUAUUCUUCCAGGAUCUGAGGAGAAGUGCAAUGUCUGGUGACUCUCUGCUCAGCCUUUGAGGGAAUUGUAAGGGUCCCCAUGUGACCAUGGGGAUGGAGAUGUGCACAGGGCGGGGGUCACUCCUGUUGGCAAACAGGUAUAAAACGGCAGAUAAAAACCUAGAUGUGUGACCCUAAGAUCCGGGUUCUGGGUGAAUAGUUUUAUUUUCUCAGCUUGUAACUUUUUAUAAUCAAGUCAUUUAAAGGAUUUUCAAAGGACUUUGAACCCACCACACAAAUUUCCAUCCUAGAAAAUCACCAUGGCCUAAGGACACCCCACGAAGACAUUGGCAGAUUUGACAUCUGCAGCUUAAGCCCCCUUCCUGUUUCCUUCUUUCUGUGGUAUUUUGUGUAAGUUCUGACCCAGGUGUACUUCGUGUGGCAAAUGGCCACACUCCUGAGAGCAAGACCCCUUCUGUCAUCCAUUCCCACGGUACCACAGCUCCUCACAGCCUCUGGCAUGGAAAGGGGGUCAGGAGGGGACAACCAUCAAGCCUUAUAGCACAGCAGCCCUCUGUCAUCCCAGCAGCUGUGUGUGUGUGGCAGGCAUGUCUUUCUAUUUCAAAGAUGGGGAAAUUGAGGCCUAGGGAGUGUGGAGCAGCUUGUCCAAUGCUGCCCAGUUAGUAGUGUGUAAAGCAAGGAACUGACCCGGAUGUCUGACCUCAAGGCUAGUGCGGCCUGCACACCCUCUUCUGAGUGGAGAGGGGGCAUGGAGAUGGGUGCUGUGUGGGAUGCUGGGCAACGUUCAGCUGGGACUCUGUGGCUUUCCUGGUGAUGCAGCUAUGAGGAGCUACUGAAGAACAGGGUUCUCUCAGGGAGGAUGGGAAAUCUGUGAGUCUAUCUUUUGUGGGAAGAAAGUUUAGCCCAGGAGUGGGAGGCCCCCCAAGUAGACAGUGAGGAGAGCUUCUGCCGUGGUGGAGAGAUCUGUAAGGAGCAUGAUUCUCUGAUAGGUUAAUUUUGGGUUGCUUAUCUUUUUAAGAAACAGCUUUCUGACACCUAGAGACUUUGCAUUUACAAUGACAACGUGGCUGUUACCAGUGUGGGCUCCAGAGUUGGAAAGAUUCUGAGCUCCUAACCAGCCACUUAACCUCUAGCAAUAAUAGAGUUGCAGUGGAGUUUAUUUAAAAUAGUUCAUGCAAAGAGCCACGCACAGUGCCUAGCACGUAGUAAGCAUGGCAUUAAUGUCAGUGGUUAGCAUUAUUAAUAUUAUUGAGAUGAGACUGGGGUCAGUGAACUCCUUAACCCAAAGCUUGUCAAGCAGUGAUGGAUGGGGGUCCGUCAGUGUUAUAGGAGAGACCGCUGCAAUGGAGUAAAGUUGAAUCUGAUCACGGUUAAGUCCCUUCAUCUGACUUUGGAUUCUGUCUUUGAUGAGCUGGAUGAUCUUGGGCAGGUUCCAGGGCCCCCCCGGCCCCUCAGCGUCUUCCUCUGUGAGCUCUCCUCUCUUGCCAGGGUGAAAGGGCAAUGAUCCAGGGUCCUGCCGGCAACUGAAGCACUGUGUCUGAGAGGUAACAUAAAGAAGAGCUUUGUUCUGCAGAGGUGAGGGUUUAAGAAGACUUUUCCAGGGCAUGGUGGUCCUGUGGAGUCUCUUUGGGGCUUUGAUCUGGCUUUGGUCCAGGGCCAUCAGCUUGAGAACUCAUCUUCCCCCCAUUCCUUUGAUGGGCUCCGGUACUCACUGAAGCAAAGUGCACAAAAACUCCCUAUAAAUGCCUGGUAAUGUGGCUCAGAAUUGGGCCCUGCAGGAUUAUUAGAGUCAUCCAUCUUAAUUAUACUGAAAAUCACUUACACAUUUUCCAUAACAAUGUUGCAUUUGCAAUUUCCCAGCACUGAGCCAGUUGCCUGGCAGGGCUCUCCCACUCUCUGCAGGGGUGGGUGGUGUGGGGUGGGGAUGAGUGGGUGAGGGAGGUGGGGGUGGGAACCAGGGGACAAUGAGAUGGGCAUGUACUUCCCCCUUUCCCAGUGGGUACUGAUUCUCCAUAUCCAGCAUCUUAUUUAGCAUUUUGCAUGGCCCUUCGAUUCGAGGCUCAUCUGCUUAUUGCCAUUUUACAGAUGAGAAAACAGAGGCUUACAGAGGCUGAGUGACUUGCACAAAAAAAGAUGCUAAGAAAUAGUGGCUUCAAGAAGAAAAAGCUCUUCUGCUUUCCAUUGGUGUUUCUGCAGAUGCCUCUCCUCUGCCUCUGCCUCACCCUCCCAGUUUCUAUUUUGUGGUUUCUAGGAAGCCAUGAUCAGGAUGAAUCACUCUCUCAUGUAAUAUAGUUUCCCCUGUAUAACCACAGAAAGCAUGCCCAUACAAACACACUUGCACACAUGCAUAAAAACGAUACACACAGGCAAACAUGCACAUACACGGGCUUUCCUCUCUUACUCCAUGGACAGACGAGUCUCUCUACUGCUUAGUACCGGGCCUGAGUUUCUCUGGUAGCACAUCUUUAUAUAGGGCAAAAGCUGGAUUCUCUCUUCCCAUUCACCCGGGAUCAAUACUGAAGGUAGAAGUACAUUCUGACCAUGAGCUUACUCAGGAAGAAAAUCUAUUUCCAGGAGUCAUUCCUGGGAGUCUGAGUUCCAUGUAAGAUUGGAGCUGAAUGGGGUCUUGGUGAGUUGACAUGGGAUGAAAUACUUCAGGUCUGGGGGUUCCCCCCAUAUGGGGGUCUCUCCCACAGAGCUUGAGAUUACUGAGCACAUAGAAAGUUGAAGCCAAAAGACAAAUACAGGAAGUCAGACCAAAAAAAAUUAUGAACAGUAUAUGCCAACCCAGUGACAUUGUGUCUAAGGGAAAAUGAAUCCUGCCUCUGAGCCUUGAAGGACUCAGACAGGCAGGAAGGGCAAGGGAAGGGGGGAUAGGUGCUUGAAUGGGUGGGUGUGGCCUGCAGAGGGAGGUAGAACAGAAGGAAGCAUGAAACAAAAUGGGCGUGCCUCUGGUCAACAGGUGGUUCCUGGGGAGGGGAUUCCUGAGGGUGAGAAGGAGGGAGGUGAGAGAGGAGACUUUGAUAGGGGUCAGAUACUGGAGCUCAGGCAUGACUUACUGCUAAAGGGAGGGUCUUCUGGAGGGGAUCCUGGGGGCAGGUGUGAGUAGAGCUCAGUUCCUCCUGUGUCAAAGAUGGUGACAGAAGACAUGUGGGUCCAUGAUCCAGGAAAAAGCAGGUGAGCCCAAGUAAGAAGGGAGUCAGGUAAUUGCAUACUAGGGGAGCUGCCAGUGUCACACCCUGCUAGUGUGCCUGGUUGCUCCCACCUUCCUGGGGAUGUAGAAGGGAAAUUUUGGGGCUCUGGCUGAUGGGACAUAUCAGUCAACUUUUCGUCUCUGUGACCAAAAUACCUAAGAACAACUUGAAGAGAAGUUUAUUUGGGGCUCAUUGUUUCAGAGGUUCACUCCAUGUCAAUUGACUCCAUGACUUUAGGCCUGAGUAAGGCAGAAUGUUCCGGCAGGAUGGUGUGGUAGAGGAAAGCUGCUUAGUUCCCAGCAGCCAGGAAGCAGAGAAAGCCAGGAGGAAGAGCAGGUGAGCCCAAGUGAGAGGGAGUCAAGACAGAAACAAAUGAAGUCCCAAGGGCACACCCCCAGUGACCUACCUCCCCCAGCCAUGCUCCAACUGCCACAGUUACUACCCGGUAGUCCAUUCAAGUUGUUAACCCAUCAGGUGGAUUAAUCCACUGAUGGUAUUGUAGUCGUUGCCAUCUAAUUAGUCUAGUCAUUUCACCUCUAAACAUUCCUGUUUUGCCUAACACAUGAGUAUUUCAGGGGACAUUAAACAUCUUACACUGUAACAGUGUAAGAGAGAUGGUAUCCUGUGGCAGAACGAACUCAGUGGAACUGGCCAUACUGGGUGCAGGGCCCACCCACUUAUAGCUGGGCUGGGAGCUGGGAAGUCUGUCUUGCCAGGACCCGAAGUAAGAGUAGGCUGCUUCUGGAACAUGCAGAAGUCGCUUAGAAUUUUUCUGGACCUCUUGUUUUCCCCAGCACAGACUUCCAAGUGCUACCAUGUGGAUCAAAUUAUGAGCUCCCCACUUCCCAACAGCACCCUGGACACUCUGGGCAAGGAUGUGCAGUUCUCAGGGCCUGCAGGGGCAAUCUCCAUGAAUCUAUCCUUGGAUGAGCACCAAGAAAGGGGGCUGGUGAGUGAGCUUGCACCCCAAGGAGGUCUUGAAACCUGACGGUUGCAUUUGUUGCUGAUCCAGAAUGGUGACAGCAGCCUGGGUAGAAACUUCUAGGAGUCAAGAAAUAACUCGAGUAUCGCCAGCUUCAUCUGAAAGUCCAGGAUAUGAUGCAUCCAGGUUCAAGAGAGGACUUGAACCUCUCAUCUAGGCAUUAGGGAUGGAGUGAAGGCACCGGGAGGGGCAUGGAGCUCACAGCCCAAGCACAGCCCCUGUCUGUCCCACUCCAGGGCCUCCUGGAGCACAGAGCAUCCUCUAGUAGCAGCACAAGCUUGUAUUUUGGGACGAGGCAUUCAUUUGUUGAGGUCCCUCAAGGCAUCCCCCAUGUAUCCCAUGUCAGUUCUGGGAGCUGAGAGUUAUAUUUAAUGGUUCUCAUAGGAAGAAUUUAAGACUUGUCAUGUCAGAAACUCAUGAUAGCCUGGGGAGGGAAGAAGGGACCCUAUUGGGCCUGGUGUGAAGCCCGUGCAAUUUUCCCAGCACCUACUGCCUCCUUGACCUCUUCUCACUUCCUCUGUUCAGACUUUCCCCUCCUUGGAGGCUGGCGGUGUGGUGAGAAGCUUUCCAAAGAGAUGAUGUAUUCAUCAGGGUUCUCUAGAAUAACAGAACCAAUAGUAUAUGUAUUUGUGGAAUUGUCUUAUCUGCAGAGCCAUUGUCUCAACUCAAAGACCAUCCUUCAAGAAGAAUUCUCUUAUACUGAUGGAAGGCUCAGCCCUGUUGUUUUAAUCAGGCCUUAGAUUGAUUGGAUGUGGUCCGUCAUGUGACAGAUCAAUCUGCUAUACUCAAGUCUACUGAUAUAAUGUGAAUCUCUCCAAGAAACACAAGCACAUCCAGAUAUUUGAUUUAAUCAAAUAUCUAAGCAUUCUGUAUCCUGGUCAAAUUGACACAGAAUGAGUCAUCAUAGAAAGGGGUGUCUGUGCAAAAGAGGUGAUAUAGUUUCUGCAAUUGCCUGGGUAUGAACUCUGUCUCUCUGAGUCCCAGUUUUCUCAUUUAUAAAAGGCAUAUUAUGAGCAUGAGAGAAGCUAAUGGAUUGGUACUACCUAGGAAACUGGGAUAUGAUUGACCCCUGACCAAAUACACACGGGUCAGUAUCAACCAUCCCUCCCAGAAGAGACCCUGCAGGCAGUGGUGUGGAUGCCUUUAAGCACUCUUCAGCUGUUCUUUGGCCCCCUGUAGCUGAUGGUCUGCAGGACUGAAGGUGAUACAUUGAGAUGCUACCUGUUCUCUGGGGUCUGAGAGCCCUAUCUGUUGAUCUGUGAGGUUACCAUGUCUCCGGUGUCAGGCUGACUUUGAGGUCAGGGGAGUCAGUGGGAGUUACAAGCAAGUCUCAAACACCACUGCAGUUGCUGUGUGAAGAAAGCACUGAGGGCACCUCCCUCUGCUUUAUUUUGAUGGUUCCUUGUCUGGGUCAGUGUUCUAAACUGGGGCCUCUGAGCAUACCAGGAGAUGACUGUAACUGGAUGCUGACCCCACAACUCCUACCCUAUGUGCUCCUAAAAUAAGAUCUAGUGGGAAAACACCAGGCUUCUUAUUAGUUACAUGGCAAAAUUUAAAAAUCAACUGGGAGACUGUCACAUGGCAAUAGAUGUCAAACUGGCAAAGAAAAAUGGAAACAGAUUUUAUCUGCGUUCUUCACUCAUCUUUACCUGAAAUGUGUGAGAAUGAAUAACAUCUCAGGGAAUCAGAAAAGGACCUUCGGAGAUCAAAGCCUAGGGACCCCACAAUCCUGAAUAAGAGGCUCCUUGUCCAUGCACAUCUGUAAUACCUGAGUUUCUUCAUCAGGUGGAGCACAAAAAAACAAAACAAAACAAAACAAACAAACAACAACAAAAACAACAGCCUUUUCCUCCCUAAAGAGUGUAGUCCUUAGAAUGUAGUUUGGAUCUGGAAUGUUCCUCAAGGGCCCAGGUAUUAAAAGUUGAUUCCCAGCCUAUGGAGCUAUAGGGAAGUGGUAGAGCCUUUAAGAGGUGGGUCCUAGUUGGAGGAAAUUAGCUCAUUUGGGAUGCACCCCUGAAGAGGAUAUUGGGCCUCUGGUUCCUUCCUUUUUCCCUCUUUGUUUCCUGGCUAUCAUGAGUGAGCAGCUUUGCUCUACCACGUUUCUUCCAUAAUAUGCAGGACUGCUGUAGGACCAAAGUAACAGGGCCAAACACCCAUGGACUGAAACCUCUGAAACCAUGAGUCAAACUAAAUCUUUUCUCUUUGUAAUUUGUUUCUGUCAUAUGUUUUGUCACAAUGAUGGGAAACUAACUAAUACAGUUCUAUUGGGGACUUAUGUAGGAGGCAAUUCUAGACAAAGCCAUGUACACAGAGCAAAUUCCAACAUCAGAGAGCCAGAAACUAGCUUUUUAGGCUACUCUGAUGCCCCAGCUAACCAUGGUAACCCCAUUUUUGGACCUUGCUUUCUCUCUGGGCAUCUAGCUUCCAGACAAUGUCUGGAACAGGGUAGGUAGGUAAAUAUAAUAUUUAUUGAAUAGAUGGAUGGUCACAUGCAUAGGUGAAUAGAUUGGUAGAUGGAUGGUUAAAUGAAUGGUGGAUGGAUUCAUGGUGGGUGGAUGGAUGAAUGGGUGGAUGGUUGGUUGGAUGGAUGGUUGGUUGGAUGGAUUGUUGGUUGGAUGGAUGGUUGGGUUAUGUAGAUGGGUGAGUGGAUGAGUGAAUGGGUGGAUGGGGGAGAAGCAAGUAAUGUCAGUAUGGGUGGGUGGGUGGGAGCUUUGUCCCAUGAUUCGCCUCUUGCAAGGUGGAGACUCUUUUUGUAAGGCUUGUCUGUCACCAGAGAACUUUUCAUUCUCUGUCUCAGAAAGGCCAAAAUCAGACAGGUUCCUAUGUGUGUAGAGGGGUGAGAGGACAUUUGGGUGGAGUUCCUUUCACACCGUGGUGCUUAUUUUGUCUACAAGGAAAUGGGCACGGAGUACUGCCCCUUGGUGCCAUGGCAGAGCUAAGGCAGCACAGAAGAGGAUCCCUGGGAUAUGCUGCUGGGUUUCCAGUGAUGAUGUGCCAAAGCAGAAGGUCUUCAGGGUUGGUAGAGGAAGCUGGAGAUAAUCCAGAAAUAAACUCAGGGAGGCAACAUGCUGUGGGCUCUGAUGCUGGCUGGGGCAGGCUUCCUAGACCUGUCUCAAUCCACAGGAGAUGGGGAGGAGAGCAGCCUGCUAAGGUGUGGGAUUCCCUGAGCCUGUCCUUCCUCCUCAGGAAUCUUCCAGACUCUCAAUGUUUUAUAUUAAGAGAGAUUUUCCCGGGGAGUUGAGACCCUUGUGGGUAGGAACGGGUGACAGGAAAUCUGCCUCCCUGGGAACUCUGUUUCUCAGAUUUAGGCAUCAAUGCAAUGCUUUCUUAUGUGUCCCUGUUUACUAACCAGGCUGCUCUGUGGUGACAGUGUGCUCUGCCUUCAUUCCCCCAGGCUGACAUGUGGCUCAUAGUUCAUUCUUGCAUUCAUCUGAUGAGCUGAUGGAUGCCUAGUGCCGGAGAGUACCAAGGAGACACCCUUAGAUCCAGAAAGCCAGCAUCUGAGCCGAAGUGGAGUCAGCCAGUCUCUCAGGGCUCCCAGUAGGGGGCUUUCCAUCUUCACAUGCUGAGCUGACUAGGAAAAAAUGAUAAAGAAAAGCGGAAAGAUCACUUGGUGGGCUUGAUCCCCCUACCUCUGUGUGUUGUUCUGGUGAAGCAAAGGGGCAAGGCUUAGCCAGGUGGACUUUGGAAUGGCUGCACAUAAAGUACACUAUGUGUCCCAGGGGCCAGGCCAGGCCUGGAAUCUUGGGGCAUAUUGGAAAGCAGCAAGGCUAUGUGGCCAACACAUCAGGCUUUCAAUCCCACCUCUGUCAAUGCUAGGCAGUGUGACUUCAGACACAUCCCAGCCUUUCUGGGACUUGGUGUCCUUGUCUGUAAAAAUUGCACUUGCGUAACCUCUCUCUAGGAGAGUUCAUUCCAGGACUGAUGACAUUAUAUUGAAAACCAAACAAGCCAAACCUAGCACAUGGUAGGCUUCCAGUGAAAAGUAGUUGCUAUUGUUCUUUUUUUAAUAUUUAUUUUUUAUGUGUAGUUGGACACAAUGCCUUUAUUUUAUUUACUUAUUUUUAUGGGGUGCUGAGGAUCAAACCCCAGGCCUUGCACAUGCUAGGGGAGCGCUCUACUGCUGAGCUGCGGCCCCAGUCCUACUAUUGUUCUUUCAAGUGCAAAUUGUUUCUGGGUGAGCUCCACCUCUAUUUCCCAAUCUUCCCUUUCUUGCAGGACACAUGGCACUGUUUGAGUGACACAUGGGUAUGUGGAAGCAGGGAAUCAGGACGGAUUGCUACAGGUGUCCUUUUUCUGCCCAGUAGGUGCUGCUUCUGGCCGGCCUUGAAUCUCUUGGGGGCAGUUCUCAGCUAAAGAACCUUAUUUCGGAAUCUGCAUCAAGCUGAACAACUCUUUGCCUGUUUCCUGGGUCCUGGACCUAUGUUUUCAUAUGGUCCAGAUUCUGGAUAGUGCCCUUGAGGAUUAGGUGGGGUUCCCUUCUUUGUGCCAUGACCUCAUUAGCACUCUGCACACAUCAAAGGUGUAACAAAAAGAAGUUCAUUGUGCUAAUUAUCCCGUAAAUGCCUCCUUUGUGCCAAGCAAUGUAUACAAUGUAUUGGGCCACUUAUGUGCGUUGUCUGCACAAAUCCUCAACAGUAUCAAUGGGAGCAUGCCUCUGCAUUAAAAUGACUGGUUAGGGGCUUAGACAGAUUAAUUUCCCCAAGUCACAUAGCUGGGAAGUAAGUGGCAAAUCUGGACUAUUAAUUUUUUUUAGUUUUUCAAUUGUGAUGGACAAAAUUUACUUUUGAAACAAAUUUUAUGCGUGCGGUUCGGUGGCAUUAUGUACAUUCACAUUGUUGCGCACCAUCCAUCUUCUGAAUUCUUUCCAUUAUCCCCAACUGAAACUCAGCAUACAUUAAACACCAACUCCCAUUCCACGACCCACCAGCCCCUGGCAACCACCAUUGUACUUUCUGUCUCUAGGAAUUUGACUCCUGUAGGGACCUCAUAUAAGAGGAAUCAUCUAGUAUUUAACCUUUUGUGACUGGCUUAUUUCGCUUAGCAUGUGUCUUCAAGGUUCAUUCCUGUUUUAGCAAGGGUCAGAAUUUCCAUUCUUUAUAAGGUUGCUUAAUGUUCUGCUGUAGGUAUAACCACAUUUUGCUGAUCUGUCCAUUCUUUGAUGGAUAGUUCAGUUGCUUUCCUUUUAGCUAUAAUGAACAAUGCUGCUAUCACCAGCAAAUAUCAAUUUGGGAUCUUGCUCAAUUCUUUGAGUACUUAUCUAGAAGUGGGAUGAUGGACCACUUGAUAAUUUGAUGUUUAAAUUUUUGAGGGAACUUCAUACUGUUUUCCACAACAGCUGAGUCACUUUGCAUUCCUACCAAUAGGGCACAGAGUUUCAAUUUCUCCAUAUUUCACCAACAUUUGGUAUCUUCUGUUUUAUUUUUAUUUAUUUUUUGUUGUUUAAUAGUAGCCAUGUUAAUGAGUGUGAGGUGGUAUCUACUGUGGUUUUGAUUUGCCUUUCCCUAGUGAUGCAGAUCUGUAUUUUAAUAUUCAUACUUGGAGGAUGGAAUGAAACAAACUUGAGUGCAAAAUCAGAAGACUGUGUUUUCCUUGGAACCUCCAUAUUGCAGGUGAGCUGUACAUGCGGCAGGAUAGGUUGAGUGUGGGAGAUCCACAUCCUGGGUGUGUUAAAGAUGCAGUGGGUCAUUAGAACUCAGUCACCUCCUUCAUACUAUGCACAGCACCAAAGAGCAAUGACAUCAUGGUGCUCCCGAGACAGCUUGAGUGUGGGUGCUACCAGCUGGGGGUGCCUCCCUGCUUGCUGUGCCCUGGGCUGUCCUGGGUGUGUCCUUAACCAUUAGAGACCCAGAUUCCAUAGACACAGACAGGGGCUGUAAAAAAAAAGAUCUCUGCUCCUGAAGAUGGAGGGAGGUUAUGAGAAGAAGGGCUUUGAAGAUGGCAGCAAGUGGUCAAUGCUUCUACGUCUUGGUGUGAAACAUUAGCUAUGCCUCAUGCCCUCGUCUACUUCCUCCACCCCUGCCAGGCUAGGCUACCUCUCAGCUCCACCACUGUAUGGACAGUGACCAAUCUUCUUUCCCCAUGCAAAGCCAAUCAUGUAACUGUCCUGCUAAAGGCGCUUAACUAAUUCUCUGGUACCUGGGCCAAGUCCUUUAGAAGCCCUUAACUUGCAUAACCAUGGAGGGUAACGUGAGGGUGCCCCACCAUCGCCAUCUUGCUUGGCCUCAUACUGAGCCAUCCACACCACUCUGCCCUUGAGUGUCUGGCAGGCACACCUGACAUGCAGAGGAGACUGCUUUUAACCCCCCUUUGCUGUGGUUCUUCUAUCCCUGGAAUGUCCAGAGUCCUGUUUUUAUCUCUGAGCACCUAUUGAUUAUUCAGACUGUCCAGGUUGCUGCUGAUUUUUUAAAAAAAAUUUGCUGAUUUUGUGUGGUGAUUGGGCUCCUGAGCACUCCCAAAAGACACAGCCCCUCUUCCUAUGACAGCAUCCACUCUGCCACACUGCCUCAUCCCUCGAUGGAAAAUUCCCCACAGGGGACCUGCAUGAGGGUACACAGAAUGUCCUCAAAAUAUUGAUGAAUUAUAAGAGAAAAAGAGUGGAGGAUGAGAUGACAGAAUGGGUGGUGGAAUGGUGGAAUUGGGUCUGCCUCUAUUAAUACACAAAUGAGGUAGUUUUAUACAACUUUAAUAAAACAGAUUCUGAUAAAACAAAGGAAGAGUUACCCUGGUGAUUUCCACCCAUGGAAGGAGUUGGUGUGUAUUAUAUGACUACACAUCAGUCUCCCAGGCGUGUGUUUUGUUUAUGCAGAAACCAGCCUUAUUCUUCUUUGUUCCCUGAAGCCUAAAACAGAGCCAAGAUUUUGUCAAUGCAUAACACCCAUUCCCUCCCUGGGGUUGGGUUUACACAGGAAGAAUUUAAUACAUUUUACAACUAAAGUUUUGCAGGGGUUUCCACUCUUACAGUCGUGCAGGGACCAAGCUUAAUGGAGAUCCAAUCUCAAUAGGAGUUAUUCCGUCACAUCUGCAGUUUAGAUCUGAAAUGGCCCCCGGAAGCCCACAUACUGAAGGCCUGGUGCCAGCCCAUGGCAGACUGGAAGGUGGGGGAGCCUUUAAGAGGCAGGACCUAAUGAGAGAAAAUAGGUCAAUGAGGAAAUGCCCACGAAGGAGAUAUUGGAGCCCCAGCUCCUCCUCUUCCUUUCUUGUUUCCCAGUUGCCAUGAGGUGGUCAGGUCUGUCAGGAUGUGCUGAGCCACCAAAGGCCCAAAGCAAUAGGGCCAAAAGAUCAUGAACUAAAACCUCUGAAUCAUGGGCCAAAAUAAACCUUUUCCCCUUAUAAGUUGAUUUCAUCAGGUAUUUUGUCCCAGUGAUGAAAAUCUGAUUAAUAACAAUUGUUGAACCAGACAAAAAAAAUGUAGUAAACUGUGACCUUCUUAACACUUCUGUCCAGGAGUGACAUGUUAUUUGAUUUCAUGUCUUCUUUUUCAGAAUCAGCCACAUGACCUCAUUGAAUUCAAUAGAAAAGGCAGAAUGGCCCUUCCCAGGAAGAGUGGAGAACUGAAAUAUUUCUGAACAUUUUUGUGGACUACCAUAGGAGGCAUGAAGUACUGGGGACUGGUUGGAACAAUCACCUUUCUUUUCUCAACAUCUGGGAACUGAGGGAAGAUCCAAGAAGAAUUGAGAAGAAUUGAUAGAAGAGGCUGAACAUUUCAUCAGACUUUGCCUUGGCUAAAAGUUUGGAUAUAUGCUCAGAGGCACUCAGAUUCAAUAAAAAUUCAAUUUGAAAAAAAAA